UACGAAGGGGGCUAGCGUUGCUCGGAAUCACUGGGCGUAAAGCGCACGUAGGCGGAUUGCUAAGUCAGGGGUGAAAUCCUGGAGCUCAACUCCAGAACUGCCUUUGAUACUGGCGAUCUCGAGUCCGGGAGAGGUGAGUGAAACUGCGAGUGUAGAGGUGAAAUUCGUAGAUAUUCGCAAGAACACCAGUGGCGAAGGCGGCUCACUGGCCCGGUACUGACGCUGAGGUGCGAAAGCGUGGGGAGCAAACAGG
RNAcentral lists this ribosomal RNA (253 nucleotides) under uncultured bacterium. RNAcentral's name for it is "partial 16S ribosomal RNA". It matches the Rfam family "Bacterial small subunit ribosomal RNA", at positions 524 to 776 of the family's 1533-position model. The record is from RNAcentral.